RNAcentral lists this ribosomal RNA (481 nucleotides) under uncultured bacterium. RNAcentral's name for it is "partial 16S ribosomal RNA". It matches the Rfam family "Bacterial small subunit ribosomal RNA", at positions 28 to 507 of the family's 1533-position model. The record is from RNAcentral.
GAUGAACGCUGGCGGCGUGCUUAACACAUGCAAGUCGAACGAAACACCUUAUUUGAUUUUCUUCGGAACUGAAGAUUUGGUGAUUGAGUGGCGGACGGGUGAGUAACGCGUGGGUAACCUGCCCUGUACAGGGGGAUAACAGUCAGAAAUGACUGCUAAUACCGCAUAAGACCACAGCACCGCAUGGUGCAGGGGUAAAAACUCCGGUGGUACAGGAUGGACCCGCGUCUGAUUAGCUGGUUGGUGAGGUAACGGCUCACCAAGGCGACGAUCAGUAGCCGGCUUGAGAGAGUGAACGGCCACAUUGGGACUGAGACACGGCCCAAACUCCUACGGGAGGCAGCAGUGGGGAAUAUUGCACAAUGGGGGAAACCCUGAUGCAGCGACGCCGCGUGAGUGAAGAAGUAUUUCGGUAUGUAAAGCUCUAUCAGCAGGGAAGAAAAUGACGGUACCUGACUAAGAAGCCCCGGCUAACUACAUG